CCUGUGGCAGCAGGCGAGAGGCUGUUGUAGGGUGCCGCCAUAACCUCGUUGCUGGUUGUGCUGGUGGAGAGGCGCAGGUGGCUGAGCCAGUGCUGCCCUGUGAGCUCCCUCCCCGCAGGAGCCUCUGCAGGACCCCCGACUCGUGAGAAGCUGGGAAGGACUUGAACCUGAAGCAGAGAGGGAAGGAGAGGCCAGGAGAUGGACUGAUGUGAGAGGCGACAGCGGCCCCUGCUGUUGGAAGGCUCAAGCUGCAAGAGAGGAGGCCCCUUCCCGCCUGAGGUGUAGCCCUGCAGCCUG
This is a long non-coding RNA of Ochotona princeps (American pika), 297 nucleotides long. RefSeq lists it as uncharacterized. Lineage: Eukaryota; Metazoa; Chordata; Mammalia; Lagomorpha; Ochotonidae. The record is from RefSeq and is a predicted model, not a curated record. The transcript has 3 exons.